RNAcentral lists this microRNA precursor (85 nucleotides) under Daucus carota subsp. sativus. Its description in RNAcentral is "sRNA DCAR_mi00170". The record is from RNAcentral. Lineage: Eukaryota; Viridiplantae; Streptophyta; Magnoliopsida; Apiales; Apiaceae.
UACAUUAUUUUUCAAUUUUUUUUUUCUGAAUAAAAGUAUAACAUCCAUAUUUUUAUUCAGAAAAAAAAAAUUGAAAAAUAAUGUA